GUAACGGCGAGUGAAGCGGCAACAGCUCAAAUUUGAAAUCUGGCUCUCGGGCCCGAGUUGUAAUUUGUAGAGGAUGCUUUUGAUGCGGUGCCUUCCGAGUUCCCUGGAACGGGACGCCAUAGAGGGUGAGAGCCCCGUCUGGUUGGAUGCCAAAUCUCUGUAAAGCUCCUUCGACGAGUCGAGUAGUUUGGGAAUGCUGCUCUAAAUGGGAGGUAUAUGUCUUCUAAAGCUAAAUACCGGCCAGAGACCGAUAGCGCACAAGUAGAGUGAUCGAAAGAUGAAAAGCACUUUGAAAAGAGAGUUAAAAAGUACGUGAAAUUGUUGAAAGGGAAGCGUUUAUGACCAGACUUGGGCUUGGUUAAUCAUCUGGGGUUCUCCCCAGUGCACUUUUCCAGUCCAGGCCAGCAUCAGUUUUCGCCGGGGGAUAAAGGCUUCGGGAAUGUGGCUCUCUCCGGGGAGUGUUAUAGCCCGUUGCGUAAUACCCUGGCGGGGACUGAGGUUCGCGCAUCUGCAAGGAUGCUGGCGUAAUGGUCAUCAACGACCCGUCUUGAAACACGGACCAAGGAGUCGUCUUCGUAUGCGAGUGUUCGGGUGUCAAACCCCUACGCGUAAUGAAAGUGAACGCAGGUGAGAGCUUCGGCGCAUCAUCGACCGAUCCUGAUGUUCUCGGAUGGAUUUGAGUAAGAGCAUACGGGGCCGGACCCGAAAGAAGGUGAACUAUGCCUGUGUAGGGUGAAGCCAGAGGAAACUCUGGUGGAGGCUCGCAGCGGUUCUGACGUGCAAAUCGAUCGUCAA
Molecule: unclassified non-coding RNA, 795 nt
Filed under: Fusarium equiseti
Lineage: Eukaryota; Fungi; Ascomycota; Sordariomycetes; Hypocreales; Nectriaceae
Description: sequence contains 28S rRNA gene
Rfam family: Eukaryotic large subunit ribosomal RNA
Source: RNAcentral